Molecule: ribosomal RNA, 612 nt
Filed under: uncultured fungus
Lineage: Eukaryota; Fungi
Description: eukaryotic LSU rRNA
Rfam family: Eukaryotic large subunit ribosomal RNA
Source: RNAcentral
CCCGCUGAACUUAAGCAUAUCAAUAAGCGGAGGAAAAGAAACCAACAGGGAUUGCCUCAGUAACGGCGAGUGAAGCGGCAACAGCUCAAAUUUGAAAUCUGGCUCCCGCCCGAGUUGUAAUUUGCAGAGGAUGCUUCGGUGCAGUCCCCGGCCCAAGUCCCUUGGAACAGGGCGCCGCAGAGGGUGAGAGCCCCCCACGCGGCCGGGUGCCUGCUCCGGUGAAGCUCCUUCGACGAGUCGAGUUGUUUGGGAAUGCAGCUCUAACUGGGAGGUAAAUUUCUCCUAAGGCUAAAUACCGGCCAGAGACCGAUAGCGCACAAGUAGAGUGAUCGAAAGAUGAAAAGCACUUUGAAAAGAGAGUUAAAAAGUACGUGAAAUUGUUGAAAGGGAAGCGUUUGCGGCCAGACUUGGCGGCGGUUGCUCAGCCGGUCAUUGCCCGGUGCACUCUUCCGCCGACAGGCCAGCGUCGGUUCGGGCGGUCGGAUAAAGGCGUCGGGAACGUGGCUCUUCGGAGUGUUAUAGCCCUUCGCACAAUGCGGCCCGCCCGGACCGAGGUACGCGUCUUCACGGACGCUGGCGUAAUGGCCGCCAACGGCCCGUCUUGAAACACGG